RNAcentral lists this ribosomal RNA (828 nucleotides) under Isochrysis galbana. RNAcentral describes it as "partial Bacterial small subunit ribosomal RNA". It matches the Rfam family "Bacterial small subunit ribosomal RNA", at positions 249 to 1093 of the family's 1533-position model. Lineage: Eukaryota; Haptophyta; Isochrysidales; Isochrysidaceae. The record is from RNAcentral.
UUGGUGGGGUAAUGGCCUACCAAGCCGAAGACGGGUAGCGGGUGUGAGAGCAUGACCCGCCGCAUCGGGACUGAGACACUGCCCGGACUCCUACGGGAGGCUGCAGUAACGAAUAUUCCGCAAUGCGCGAAAGCGUGACGGAGCAAUGCCGCGUGCAGGAUGAAGCCCCUCGGGGUGUAAACUGCUGUCAGGGUUUAGGAACACAAUGACCAAACCCAAAGGAAGGACCGGCUAACUCUGUGCCAGCAGCCGCGGUAAUACAGAGGGUCCAAGCGUUGAUCGGAAUCACUGGGCUUAAAGGGUUCGCAGGCGGAUCUGUAAGUAUGUUGUGAAAUCCCACGGCUCAACCGUGGAAUUGCUUCGUAGACUGCAGAUCUUGAGCACGACAGGGGCCAUCAGAACGAUAGGUGGAGCGGUGAAAUGCGUAGAUAUCUAUCGGAAUGCCAAAGGUGAAGACAGAUGGCUGGGUCGUCGCUGACGCUCAGGAACGAAAGCAUGGGUAGCGAACGGGAUUAGAUACCCCGGUAGUCCAUGCCCUAAACGAUGUGUACUAGUUCGAGGAGGUUUUAACGCCAUCUCGGACGAAGCUAAAGUAUUAAGUACACCGCCUGGGGAGUACGGUCGCAAGGCUAAAACUCAAAGGAAUUGACGGGGGCCCGCACAAGCGGCGGAGCAUGCGGAUUAAUUCGAUGCAACGCGAAGAACCUUACCAAGGCUUGACAUAUACGAGAACGGGCUAGAAAUAGUCAACUCUUUGGACACUCGUAAACAGGUGGUGCAUGGUUGUCGUCAGCUCGUGUCGUGAGAUGUUGGGUUAAGUCCCGCAAC